RNAcentral lists this ribosomal RNA (460 nucleotides) under uncultured bacterium. Its description in RNAcentral is "partial 16S ribosomal RNA". It matches the Rfam family "Bacterial small subunit ribosomal RNA", at positions 338 to 795 of the family's 1533-position model. The record is from RNAcentral.
CCUACGGGAGGCAGCAGUGAGGAAUAUUGGUCAAUGGGCUUACGCCUGAACCAGCAAAGUCGCGUGAGGGAAGACUGCCCUAUGGGUUGUAAACCUCUUUUGUCAGGGAGCAACGCCGGCUACGUGUAGCCGGACUGAGAGUACCUGCAGAAAAAGCAUCGGCUAACUCCGUGCCAGCAGCCGCGGUAAUACGGAGGAUGCAAGCGUUAUCCGGAUUUAUUGGGUUUAAAGGGUGCGUAGGCGGAAUGCCAAGUCAGCGGUAAAAUCGCGGGGCUCAACCUCGCUCCGCCGUUGAAACUGGCGUUCUUGAGUGGGCGAGAAGUAUGCGGAAUGCGUGGUGUAGCGGUGAAAUGCAUAGAUAUCACGCAGAACUCCGAUUGCGAAGGCAGCAUACCGGCGCCCAACUGACGCUGAAGCACGAAAGCGUGGGUAGCGAACAGGAUUAGAUACCCGAGUAGUC